GUUAUAGCUGUUUCAGACAUGCUACAGUCAAUCCAAGUUAUGAAUGUUCCUUAGAUUUCAUUUAAAAUUGCUGUCGCCAUGGGAGACUGUUUUAUCUAUUAUUUGCUGUGUCAUUGUUCCUGGUUCUACCAUGUGGUAAUAUUCUUAUUGCUGGAAAGCAAAAGGAGAGUUGAAAUAAGUUCGUCCAACUUUCACUUGGCUUCAUGCUUGUCACUCUGACCGGAUCCACCUAUUAUGCAGCGAGACUUGGAUUGGAUUCUGCCUGAGCAACUGUGAUUUUUUUGGCAGGUGAUCACAAUUUUAACCAGCGACUUUAUUUUAUUUUAGAGUGACGGUGAUAUAUUGCAAAAUUUACCAAUGAAGAUAGAGCUGUAAUUACGAACAGUGUACCCAUGUAGUAUUUUGU
RNAcentral lists this unclassified non-coding RNA (406 nucleotides) under Hevea brasiliensis (rubber tree). The record is from RNAcentral. Lineage: Eukaryota; Viridiplantae; Streptophyta; Magnoliopsida; Malpighiales; Euphorbiaceae.